This is a non-coding RNA of Nicotiana tabacum (common tobacco), 2338 nucleotides long. Lineage: Eukaryota; Viridiplantae; Streptophyta; Magnoliopsida; Solanales; Solanaceae. The record is from RefSeq and is a predicted model, not a curated record.
AUUUAUCUUUACAUGAAAAGUGACUAAAUUUUAAUUACGUUUGAAACUGCGGCUAUUUUUCAAUUACCACUUGUUAAUCCGGCUAUUUUGAAUUUCACCUGGUAAAAGGCCGUUGACUAAAACUGUGAGAUUUAAUUAUAUGGGCUCAAACUAGUGGCCCAGGUUCUAAAGCUCAUGUGAGAAGGGGCCAGCGUGUAAACUGGAGCUAACUGGGCCGCGAGAUAUUGGCCCAGUCGGGUGGGGCAAGGAAUUAUUCAUUCUUGAGCGUGAUUUGCGAAUGGGCUUUUCCAGUUGAGAGAGCAGCCCACUACCAUUCAACAUGCUCAAUCACAGAUGCCCAAAAGAUUAAAGUUAACAAGUUUAAGAUAACAAGAUCUGACUAUUAAUUAAAUUUACAUAGCUACACAACAUAAACAACUAAAAACAUCAUGAAUUUAUUGGAAUGAUUAAUUUACAUAGCCAGGCGAAAUAAACAAUUAAGAACACGAUCAAUUUAUCUGAACAAUGUUGAACUAGUUAUGACUGUUGCUAGUUUGGCUUGAACCAGCUAAUACAAAAAAAAUCAAAUCCCUAAAAGUCUCUUAACAAUACACAAGGAAUUACUUGGAUUGUCUAACACUUGAAUCAACAAUUCAAAAUACCAGAAUCCAAUAUACUUCAACAGACGAACAAACUCCAUAUCUUUGCUAAUUCAUUAAGUUAGUAGGCUGUGAAUUGUGAACUCCUCUCCUCUAGUUGCUCAACAAGUUUCAAGCUCAUGCAGAGAUAUAUUAAGCAAAGACGAAACUUAAAUUAACAGAGACUCCUCUCCUCUAGUUGCUCAACAAGUUUCAAGCUCAUGCAGAGAUAUAUUAAUCAAAGACGAAACUUAAAUUAACAGAGACUUUAAAUCACUUUCAUGAGUACAGUUUCAGUCAAUAGGAACAAUAUUCUCAACAAACUACUCCACAAUUAUUAUACUAGACCAAUUCGAAGCAGCACAUCCAAACAACAAUCACAAAUAAACCAAAAUAAUCAUGAUUUCACAUUAUGCUAAAAUCAGAAAAAUACAGAUACAAAGAAAACAUACCUAGUUAUGCUAGGAUUGAGUUUAGAAGCAGAAGAAAGCCAAAUAAAACCAAGUGGACAGAUUUGAGUUCAGCAAAGGAUCACAGCAACAAGCGCAGCAGUUUUACCCCCAGAAAUCCAAAACAAAUGGAAGCCAGCAGCAAACAGACGAAAACAAUUGCAGAAUUCCUUCUCUUUUACUACUCUUUCGUGAGAAUUAGAAAGAGAGUACGAGAGAGAGUGAGUGAAUAGAGGGAAUGAGAUGUGGGUGAAUAUCUGCGUGAGUGUGAAUGAUAGUCGGUGUGCUGACGUGUGAGGGGAGAGAACUAUUUUAUAACAGAAUGCAGCAAUUUCUGUUAUUUCUGUUUCUUUUUUACUCCCCCCGUUUCUGUUUUUUACUUGCUCACCCCCGACCCCUUCACUUUCCUAUUGCAAAUUAGUCCUCAGAUCCCUUUCUAGAAGCUUCAAGUCAAUUGCAUGACAUGUUUUUCUCAAUUUUAAAUCUUCUGCAUACCCCUAAAAGUCUUGAUAUUCACCCUAAGGUCCCAACUUUAAACUGUUGGGCCUAUCUUCCUCACACAAUACAGGCCCAAUUUUAGACUAAAAUGAACCGCCUGAAUCAAAGCUCAUGCUUAAUUGAAAUCAUCAAACAUCAAUUAAUGAUUAAACAAAGGAAAUUUUACCACCUAUAGAAUAGGUUAGUACCCUAUUUAUAUUCUAUAAAUACCCUUUUAAAAUAUUACAUUCUAUAAAUACCCUUUUUAGUUUAUAGCAAAAAAUCUAAAUUUAGUUCCAUCCUAAAAUUAAGGCUUAAUAUAUGCUACAAAAUAUUUUUCUAAUCUCAUUUUUUUUAUUUUCUCUCACCUAAUUUGCGUAUAUCUCCUCUCAUCAGCUUUUCUCUCUCUUCUUCAAUACACUUUUCCCUCUUCUCCCACAAACACACGUUCCAUACACUUCCAAAACCCUCCUCCGCCAUUAUCGCCCCAAAGGAUAUUCUUCUUCGCAAGCUUCACAGUUGUAUUUUGGAAAUUUUCUCCCCGUAGGAUUCUUUGAGUUUUCUCUCUAAUGUCGGAUGCAACGCCACUCAACAGACUACCCAGAGGUUUAUCAGCAUCCAAAGUUGAUGAAAGAAGAAGUAAAUUACACAAUGACAAGUUGAAAGAAGUCCAAGUUGAUGAAGCUUCAAAAGAAACCAAAAAUCAAGUUGGCUCAAAGAGGAAAAAACCUAUGAAAGAUUCAAGAAACCAAAAGGCAAUUGGUAUUUGUUACAUGUAUUCUGUUGUAUUCAUAU